UACAGAGGGUGCAAGCGUUGUUCGGAAUUACUGGGCGUAAAACGUGCGUAGUCGGUAUUGAGAGUCGCGGGUGAAAUCCCAGGGCUUAACCCUGGAACUGCCUGCGAGACCUCAGUACUAGAGUGUGAGAGGGGAUAGUGGAAUACCAAGUGUAGCGGUGAAAUGCGUAGAGAUUUGGUGGAACACCGGUGGCGAAGGCGGCUAUCUGGCUCACAACUGACGAUCAGGCACGAAAGCGUGGGGAGCAAACAGG
RNAcentral lists this ribosomal RNA (253 nucleotides) under uncultured bacterium. RNAcentral describes it as "partial 16S ribosomal RNA". It matches the Rfam family "Bacterial small subunit ribosomal RNA", at positions 524 to 776 of the family's 1533-position model. The record is from RNAcentral.